CCAUGCUUCCUUGUCAAAACUUAGUCCCGGUUCAGUCAGUAGUUCAUAUGCUAUUGUACCCCUCAUCAAGUCCAUUGUUUCCACUCCAUAGUCUGACAAAAAUAUUUCACAUUCCGAAAUUGCGUGCUCCAUGAAUUUGAUAACAAACAAUGCGCAGUCCACCCUGAAAUAUUUAAUUAAUGAAUAAAUCAAAUUGCAUUCAUCGUAAUAAGGAAUAACAAUUCAAAAUUCUAAAGCUUACGAAGAGCCUUGAUGCGGCAAAUCAGGUGCUUCAUUUAUAGGACCAUCUUCGUAACAAACAUCUCCAGGUUUGAUUAGUUUCUUGUUCAGCAAAGGAGUGACAUAUUUGGCCUGUUUCAAAUGUUUAAACUUCGAUAAAAUUCUAAAUCAUUAUAAAAUUGUUACAAAAUUACAAUAGUUUAAGAAAGUUAACUCACAAUGGCUUUACAAUCGCUCAGAAUACGUUUGUCGAAAGCUUUGUUCCCAGCAAGAGAGUUAUAAAGAGUCCAUCCAAAACCUUUCUCGAGCACAAGAAGACUCCAGUGAUACCCAGCCUUGUCUCUAGCAGUUCUUCAAGUGUUUAAUGGAAACAAAAAGAGCGUCUCCUUUCCAUUGAAUUUUUCAAUCACUUCCUUCCAGUACAUGUCUUCCUUAUUUU
This 658-nucleotide long non-coding RNA is filed under the name Aquilegia coerulea. RNAcentral's name for it is "long non-coding RNA (ACOE_LNC001999)". The record is from RNAcentral. Lineage: Eukaryota; Viridiplantae; Streptophyta; Magnoliopsida; Ranunculales; Ranunculaceae.